CCUACGGAGUGCAGCAGUGGGGAAUAUUGCACAAUGGGGGAAACCCUGAUGCAGCGACGCCGCGUGAGCGAUGAAGUAUUUCGGUAUGUAAAGCUCUAUCAGCAGGGAAGAAAAUGACGGUACCUGACUAAGAAGCCCCGGCUAACUACGUGCCAGCAGCCGCGGUAAUACGUAGGGGGCAAGCGUUAUCCGGAUUUACUGGGUGUAAAGGGAGCGUAGACGGCGAGGCAAGCCGGCAGUGAAAUCCCGGGGCUUAACCCCGGGACUGCAUUUGAAACUGUACGGCUGGAGUGUCGGAGAGGCAGGCGGAAUUCCUAGUGUAGCGGUGAAAUGCGUAGAUAUUAGGAGGAACACCAGUGGCGAAGGCGGCCUGCUGGACGAUGACUGACGUUGAGGCUCGAAAGCGUGGGGAGCAAACAGGAUUAGAUACCCCGGUAGUC
This 440-nucleotide ribosomal RNA is filed under the name uncultured bacterium. RNAcentral's name for it is "partial 16S ribosomal RNA". It matches the Rfam family "Bacterial small subunit ribosomal RNA", at positions 338 to 795 of the family's 1533-position model. The record is from RNAcentral.